Non-coding RNA from Clostridiales bacterium 41_12_two_minus, 342 nucleotides. NCBI's taxonomy places the organism in Bacteria, Bacillati, Bacillota, Clostridia, Eubacteriales. The record is from Rfam.
UGAGCAGGACAAGUGAUCGCGGCUGCAGAAACGAAAGGCUGCAGGUGAGGAAAGUCCGGGCUUCAUAGGGCAGGAUGCCGGAUAACGUCCGGUGGAGGUGACUCCCAGGAAAGUGCAACAGAAAAUAACCGCCCGCAAGGGUAAGGGUGAAAAGGCAGUGUAAGAGACUACCGCUUGUCUGGUAACAGAGAAGGCUGUGUAAACCCCAUCCGAAGCAAGACCGAACAGAAAGCAUACGGUUGCCCGCCGGCUUUCGGGUAGGUCGCUUGAGCCUGGUGGCAACAUCAGGACUAGAUAGAUGAUCACUCCAGACAUAACCCGGCUUAUCGUUCUGGUCAAACC